CGGCGUGCCUAACACAUGCAAGUCGUACGAGAAAGUUGGCUUCGGCCGAUGAGUAAAGUGGCGCACGGGUGAGUAAUGCGUGGAUAAUCUGCCCUUUAGUUGGGAAUAACGUACCGAAAGGUGCGCUAAUACCUGAUAAUACUGCAUAACUACUGUUGUGUAGUCAAAGAAGGCCUCUGUUUGCAAGCUUUUGCUGAAGGAUGAGUCCGCGUACCAUUAGCUGGUUGGUGGGGUAAUGGCCUACCAAGGCUACGAUGGUUAGCUGGUCUGAGAGGAUGAUCAGCCACACUGGAACUGAGACACGGUCCAGACUCCUACGGGAGGCAGCAGUGAGGAAUAUUGCGCAAUGGGGGCAACCCUGACGCAGCAACGCCGCGUGAGUGAGGAAGGUUUUCGGACCGUAAAGCUCUGUCGAGCGGGAAGAAAUGUAUCAUGGCUAAUAUCCAUGAUACUUGACGGUACCGCUAAAGGAAGCACCGGCUAACUCCGUG
RNAcentral lists this ribosomal RNA (491 nucleotides) under uncultured bacterium. RNAcentral describes it as "bacterial SSU rRNA". It matches the Rfam family "Bacterial small subunit ribosomal RNA", at positions 40 to 507 of the family's 1533-position model. The record is from RNAcentral.